Non-coding RNA from Lactarius indigo, 85 nucleotides. The record is from the annotation of a GenBank genome assembly. Lineage: Eukaryota; Fungi; Basidiomycota; Agaricomycetes; Russulales; Russulaceae.
UGCCCCAUGGCUGAGUUGGUUACAGCGUCCGACUGUUAAAUAUAGCGGCAUCGGAAGGUCGUGAGUUCGAGCCUCACUGGGGCAG